UAUUUUAAAUAAAGCGAUAAUUUGCGUUUAGUUUCGGCCUAAAUUUUGAUUAAAAUCU
RNAcentral lists this transfer RNA (58 nucleotides) under Robertsicus elaphensis. RNAcentral describes it as "tRNA-Arg". Lineage: Eukaryota; Metazoa; Arthropoda; Arachnida; Ixodida; Ixodidae. The record is from RNAcentral.